Molecule: ribosomal RNA, 207 nt
Filed under: uncultured bacterium
Lineage: Bacteria
Description: partial 16S ribosomal RNA
Rfam family: Bacterial small subunit ribosomal RNA
Source: RNAcentral
CGUGUAGGCGGUUAGGCAAGUCAGGUGUGAAAUCCCUUGGCUCAACCAAGGAAGUGCGCUUGGAACUGCUUAACUCGAGUACAGGAGGGGAAAGUGGAAUUCCCAGUGUAGAGGUGAAAUUCAUAGAUAUUGGGAGGAACACCGGUAGCGAAGGCGGCUUUCUGGCCUGAUACUGACGCUGAGACGCGAAAGCGUGGGGAGCAAACA